CCAAUAUGAAAGCGGGUGGGGAAUCACAGGAACAAGGGCUUCGGCCUGCGUUGUCUGCCCCAUCUUGCUGAAUUAUUCACCCAUGUCUUUUGCGUACUAUUUGUUUCCUUGGUGGGCUUGCCUGCCGAUAGGACAAAAUUAAACCUUUUGUAAUUGCAAUCAGCGUCAGAAAACUUUAAUAGUUA
Molecule: unclassified non-coding RNA, 185 nt
Filed under: uncultured Ascomycota
Lineage: Eukaryota; Fungi; Ascomycota
Description: sequence contains ITS1
Source: RNAcentral